AUAUCUAAACUAUAUAAGAAAGUAAAAUUUAACAUGUUAAUAUGGAAAAUUUUUUUAUUUUUGUAUCUUGAUGACUUAAAUGUAAGCAACAAAGUGGUUAAACACAUACCCAUCUAAAUUUUUUUAUAGCCUUCCAUGUUAAACUAUAAGUAAAUAAUUAGUUUUAAAAUUGUUUUGUAUUUUCUUAUUCCUGUUCCCUUUACCCUUUGACAACUUGAAAUGUUACCACUUCGUCCUCAUGAUGUUCUUCUAUCAACCCUGCUUAGGAUGAGAACAAGUUGAGCAGUGCCAACGGCCAUGAAGAACGUAGCAAAAAGAGGAAAAAAAGCAAGAGCAGAAGUCGUAGUCAUGAACGAAAGAGAAGCAAAAGUAAGGAACGGAAGCGAAGUAGAGACAGAGAAAGGAAAAAGAGCAAAAGCCGUGAAAGAAAGCGAAGUAGAAGCAAGGAGAGGCGACGGAGCCGCUCAAGAAGUCGAGAUCGAAGAUUUAGAGGCCGCUACAGAAGUCCUUAUGUAAUUUUGUGUUUCCUUUUUAGCUCCGGACCAAAAUUUAACAGUGCCAUCCGAGGAAAGAUUGGGUUGCCUCAUAGCAUCAAAUUAAGCAGACGACGUUCCCGAAGCAAAAGUCCAUUCAGAAAAGACAAGAGCCCUGUGAGAGAACCUAUUGAUAAUUUAACUCCUGAGGAAA
This 687-nucleotide small RNA is filed under the name Pan troglodytes (chimpanzee). RNAcentral describes it as "retained intron". Lineage: Eukaryota; Metazoa; Chordata; Mammalia; Primates; Hominidae. The record is from RNAcentral.